Eriocheir sinensis (Chinese mitten crab) is the source of this 3327-nucleotide long non-coding RNA. RefSeq lists it as uncharacterized. The transcript is spliced from 6 exons. Lineage: Eukaryota; Metazoa; Arthropoda; Malacostraca; Decapoda; Varunidae. The record is from RefSeq and is a predicted model, not a curated record.
UAUAGCACAUUAUGCUAUAUUGACCCUAUUACCAGAAAGGUUGUGGCUCAUCAUGUACUUAUAUAAAUAUUAUAAUUCUGCUAAAUAAUGAAUUUUUAAAUUGUAAAUCGCAUAAAUAGCCUUUCAUUUGUUCUUAAUUGACCGCAAUUAUGGCUUUAGCAUCAUGCGCUGAAAAUCAGCGCUCUUGACAACACUGAACUGAACAAAACAAAUCCAACAUUUUCCCGCCUAAACUGCCUCACUCGGGACUUCGUGUUGAGCGGCCAACAACAGAUUUCUCCCUGUUUUGUCUCGUUACCGGGUUUUCCUCUCCCUCUGUUGUGCAUUAAGAGAUAUUGAAGACCCUGCUCAUGGACCAAAGGACAGUGAAAUCACCGCAAACAAGGAUGUGGAAAAGAUCGGUGUGGCUGGAGGGCAGAAAAGAAGAGGAGUGUGUGGUACCAUCUACCUGGAUAGUUGAAGGCAGCCAGAUUUUAUAUUGGCCAUCAAAAGUUGAUCCUCACAAUGCCUUAACUAGUCGAGAAGACCCAGACCCCAAAUCAUGGAGAAAAUUUCCAUUGAUAAAAGUAAAAAUAGCUUCUGACAGUUACGAGGAAUGUGAGCAGUACCAGCUGACAUCAGCAGUAGACAGUGACAGAAGCAGCAGUUACCUGGAUGGGGAGGAUGGUUUGACCUUGCGUGGUAGUAAGAAACGUAUGAAGAAAGCUCUGCCAAAGGACUUUAUUAGCAGUCAGGAUUUGGAUUGUCCACACUUUGCCUCAGGGCCAUCUUUACAAGUAACAGUUGCUCCCCCCCCACCACAAAAGGUUGUCCCAUACAACCAUCAACACAAAGACUUGCCAAGUGCAGCAAGAAAAAAAUCUGAAAAGACAUAAUUCUGACAGAUGUGAAAGUAACCGGCAAAAGAAGAGUAGUUACCAACAGCAAGAUGAAGGCAGUCAGCCUGAUACCCUACACGGCAGUUUGGACCUUCAUGACAACCACAGCCUAAGGAACAGAUCUGACCGACAGACGAGACAUGACAGCAGUGACCAACAAAGCAGACAUGACAGCAGCGAUUGACACAACAGACAUGACAGCAGCGAUUACACAGCAGACAUGACAGCAGUGACCGACACAGCAGACAUGACAGCAGUGACCAACACAGCAGACGUGACAGCAGUGACCAACACAAAAGACAUGACAGUCGUGGCCGAUGCAGCAGACUUGACAGCAGUGACCGACACAACAGACAUGACAGUCAUGACCGACACAACAGACAUGACAGCAGUGACUGACGCAGCAGGCAUGACAGUCAUGACCGACACAAGACAUGACAGUCGUGACCGACAUGACAGCAGUGACCGACGCAGCAGGCAUGACAGUCGUGACCGACACAACAGACAUGACAACAGUGACCAACGCAGCAGAUAUGACAGCAGUGACCAACAACGGAGCGAUUGGAUUCAGAAUCUGUCUAGUGAAGACCUUGAUGAUGUUCACCCCUUGAACCAAGGAGAAAACUGUCAGAGUGGAUUUCCUAUGGAUUGGGCAAAAUUCCAGAGGCGAGUCAUUCAUUUGUUGCUGGAUAUGUGGACCUCUUUACAUAUUCUUACUGACUCUACACCAAGUGACAAUGAUAUAUCAAUUCAACAGCUGGACUCUAUGGAGGAUGCAGAGGCAUUUGAAAAUGAAUUGUGAACACCCUCUUUUUGCAAAGAAAUGACAGAAAAAUUUGUCCACAUAGGUGGAAUUUCAGUGAAGGAUAUGAUAUCAAAGGUAUUGUGCAGCAUUAUGUCGAAGAAGUUGAUGUGUAAGUACAACAUGUAUGGACAACGGGGCAAAGUAGCUUUUAAAAAUACAAGAUUGAAGUGUCAUCGCAGACUGUUUUGAAGAAAUUCAGAGAUGUGAGUUUAACAGAAAUACACAUGAUUGCAACACAAUUGUGUAAUGCCCCAAAAAUGAAGUAAAGUGGAAACUAAAUCAUGUAGGGUAGUGGGCAAAUAGUGUUGCUGGGUCAGGGGAUACCAUAAAAUCAGGUAACUUCAGACAUUUUUUAGGGUUUUGGCCUAUAAAUUCUUGUAGAACUACACUAUUUGAAACCUGUCCUUACUGUGAAAACUGUUCUAUGAUCUGUCCAACAGUUUGGUUAGACUCAGGAAAACUGUUGAUACCCACAUUUUUAUUCCUGGUACGGUGUGCAAAAAAAUGUAGCAACAAGAUAUGUGUAUUCUCAAAGCAUGAACAGAAAUUUGUAUUAGUAAUUAAGAGCCACACCUGUAAUAUCAAGGCAUACUGUGUAGAACAGUCCUUGAGUUAGGGCUGAGGAGGUAAAACUAAAAUCUGAAAUCUGACUCCUUUAUUUUGAAAUAACUGCCACAAAAUGGUUGUUGAUAAUGAAACUGGCUUUAUAAUGCUACCAAGAACUCAGCUGGAGUCGGAGUCAUGGUAACUUUACUGCCUCCUGCCUCCUUUCACCCACUAUUGCUGUGACUUGACUGCAGGCCUGCCAUGGAUAACAGCAAAUUGUGAAAAUGAUGAUGUACAGUAUUGUAUUGUGGCUUUUCUUUCUCCUGAUGGAUAUAAAAUUUACAUAGUAUUAUAUUGUAUUGUGGCUUUUCUUUCUCCUGAUGGAUAUUAAAUUUACAUAGUAUAAUAUUAUGUCUCAUUGCAAUACAUACUGCAAUGCUGUAGUGCUUGAUGUUAAUUUUCUGUAUUGAUUAUUUUCUUGUUUAUCAGCAAUGCAUACCCUAUAUUGUUUAAAGAUGUAAAUGUCAUUGUAGGAUGUGUGUAUUUGCAUUCCUAAAAUCCUGUGCUUAAUACAUUCACUUCAAGAUAUUCAUGUAUGUAUUCCUUCCCAAUGGGCACGGCACGUGAAUUCAAUGUGGAUUAUUCAUGGAUUUCUGGUGAAAUCUUGAGUACGCAAGUAUUCACUAAAUUUCCACGUCUUUUCCACAUGGAUAACUGGUUACCAGAUUCACGUGAAUAACUGGAAAAAGAAAUCACGUGAUUUCUUUAGUAAUUUUAUACACGCAUAAAUCUGGUACUUGAAUUCACGUGAUAAUACAUUACUAAAAAUGGCAUUCUGGGCGUUAAUUAUAUACUUUUGUUAACAUUAAAUUUAAAAUAAAAUAGUAAAAAUAAGGUCAGUCCAGAACAUUAUACAUCCACCUUGAUUAAUUUUAGUUGUUAUAUUUCAUCUGUAGCCUACUAAUGAUAAUCCAUAUAUUCGCAACCUUCAUACAUAUAUAUAGGCUACAAAAUUUUGAGCUGCCCGCUAAAUCAAAUAGUCUACCCGGCCGCCAGGCAAUGCACCAUGCAGUCACUGAAACACGGAGAUUAAAUUGA